This 919-nucleotide long non-coding RNA is filed under the name Volvox carteri. Its description in RNAcentral is "long non-coding RNA (VCAR_LNC003465)". The record is from RNAcentral. Lineage: Eukaryota; Viridiplantae; Chlorophyta; Chlorophyceae; Chlamydomonadales; Volvocaceae.
UAGCCCAGCAGCGCACCAGCUCGCUGCUAGGGAGGGUUCUGGGGGGCCAGUGGACACUCAAGGUGAGGAAAGCGAAACAGAGUGCGUGGGGCCGUAGUGAGGGUAAUUGUGCGGCCGCUGUCUGCGAAGUGCUUGGUGGGACGACGCUGCGUUGUGUUUUGUUGUAUAGCAUGGCUUGUCGGAAUCUGUGGUGGAUGGAUGACCCUCGGGCUCCAUAUGGGAAAACGUUUGCGCGAACAUGUAUACGGACAUGGUCAUACGAACCAUGGGUGAAAAAAUCUACUCUUACUGCAGUAAACGCAAAAACCUGUGGUUUCAAUAUCAAUUGGAGCCCGUCAUCGCCCACCCUCCCCAAACCCCGGAACGAACCCCAACUGCCAUCACUGGUGCUGCAGGACCUGAGCUUCUACGCUGGUGCAGCAGUCUGCAUCUUGGUGCUGACGGGUCCUGUGGCCCUACAGACCUCCCGGCUACCCCUACUUGCACUGCUGUUCAUGACUGCCGCCUGCGAGCGGGCCCUGCGGCAAUACAUGCAGAUAUGGCUGCCUCUGCUGGAAGGCGCUGUGGUAGGUAUGAAGGGGCAACCAAGCAGACGAAGAAAAUAUAGCUCUUCGGAGACGUGCCAUAGCGCCUGUCCAUGCGGACGUUGCCUCACCUGACAUGGAUCUGCAGCUGACAGCGGUUUCAGCGUAUCAGAUUCGAAGUCGAAGUGAUCAUACACCGCAUCGCCUCCUGCAGCCAUUACUAUCCCUACGGCCAGCAUCACAUGUCGGUGUCAUCCCAAUGCUAGGAGGUUCGUAUCACCACGUCUCCAAACCGCCGCGUUAAGGUGCACUCGCCGGCAAACAGGUCGCUUAUCACGACGUCCUCGCAGCCCUGAGCCCCCGCACAACACCCUGUCCGCUCCCGUUGCUCCCGC